Arabidopsis thaliana (thale cress) is the source of this 135-nucleotide non-coding RNA. Lineage: Eukaryota; Viridiplantae; Streptophyta; Magnoliopsida; Brassicales; Brassicaceae. The record is from RefSeq.
AUGUGGCUAUCUCAUGAGCUCUUACCAAGAGGACUGCGAAGAAUAGAAAUGGUGCCAACAUCAAUUGUGGAAGAGACCAAAUGCUUUAAAUGUAUGUAUUGUUGUGAGUUUUAUCGAUUAAUGAGUUUGGUCUGA